This 371-nucleotide ribosomal RNA is filed under the name uncultured organism. RNAcentral's name for it is "bacterial SSU rRNA". It matches the Rfam family "Bacterial small subunit ribosomal RNA", at positions 526 to 896 of the family's 1533-position model. The record is from RNAcentral.
CGAAGGGGGCAAGCGUUGUUCGGAAUUACUGGGCGUAAAGGGCGCGUAGGCGGCUUAUCAAGUCAGGCGUGAAAUUCCCGGGCUCAACCUGGGGGCUGCGCUUGAUACUGAUGAGCUUGAAUGCGGGAGAGGAUAGUGGAAUUCCCAGUGUAGAGGUGAAAUUCGUAGAUAUUGGGAAGAACACCAGUGGCGAAGGCGGCUAUCUGGCCCGUAAUUGACGCUGAGGCGCGAAAGCGUGGGGAGCAAACAGGAUUUAGAUACCCUGGUAGUCCACGCCGUAAACGAUGAAUGCUAGACGUUGGCGAGCAUGCUCGUCAGUGUCGGAGCUAACGCAUUAAGCAUUCCGCCUGGGGAGUACGGUCGCAAGAUUA